This 497-nucleotide ribosomal RNA is filed under the name uncultured bacterium. RNAcentral's name for it is "partial 16S ribosomal RNA". It matches the Rfam family "Bacterial small subunit ribosomal RNA", at positions 28 to 507 of the family's 1533-position model. The record is from RNAcentral.
GAUGAACGCUGGCGGCGUGCCUAAUACAUGCAAGUCGAGCGAACGGACGAGAAGCUUGCUUCUCUGAUGUUAGCGGCGGACGGGUGAGUAACACGUGGAUAACCUACCUAUAAGACUGGGAUAACUUCGGGAAACCGGAGCUAAUACCGGAUAAUAUUUUGAACCGCAUGGUUCAAAAGUGAAAGACGGUCUUGCUGUCACUUAUAGAUGGAUCCGCGCUGCAUUAGCUAGUUGGUAAGGUAACGGCUUACCAAGGCAACGAUGCAUAGCCGACCUGAGAGGGCGAUCGGCCACACUGGAACUGAGACACGGUCCAGACUACUACGGGAGGCAGCAGUAGGGAAUCUUCCGCAAUGGGCGAAAGCCUGACGGAGCAACGCCGCGUGAGUGAUGAAGGUCUUCGGAUCGUAAAACUCUGUUAUUAGGGAAGAACAUAUGUGUAAGUAACUGUGCACAUCUUGACGGUACCUAAUCAGAAAGCCACGGCUAACUACGUG